RNAcentral lists this non-coding RNA (212 nucleotides) under Pseudomonas sp. LAMO17WK12:I9. The record is from RNAcentral. RNAcentral also lists the same sequence under 1 other name. Lineage: Bacteria; Pseudomonadati; Pseudomonadota; Gammaproteobacteria; Pseudomonadales; Pseudomonadaceae.
AAACCACAAGGGGAGCCGAAGCUCCCCCAGAAGUGUUUGCGUGCUCUAUUUUUAUUAUUGGUUUCGGGCUUCUUGUUUUUGUUUAACGCCCUUGUCACCUGGUUAACCCAGAUGACCCUCCCAAUCGGGAGCCAAGAGCAAACGGAUUGCUUUGGUCGCUGUGUUGCAAUGAUCGAUGAUCCAACCAGUUCAGGCUCUGCCUUAGGGCAGUU